CAGAUAAGUAAGCUGACAACCUAAGGACUCAGAGCCUGUAAAGAAUACAGUUGGUGCUGGCACCCAGGCUGAAUGGCUCCACACCAAUAAAAAUGGAGGACUCCCGUGCUCUGGAAACCUGUGAACUGAUACCCUACCUUCUUUUAUCUUCACAACUUACUGAAGAAAGAGAGAACCAGAGCACCAAGUCCGCUUAUGCUGUCUCCCUCCUCCUGUGCCAGCUGCCAGCCCACUAGGAACCAGGAUGCUACUUCUCAGUAUCCACACCACUGCCAAGAAGUGGUGUGCAGCAAGUGGGGUAAGCUUAAAAUGCAUCCUUUUCAGGCUGCAGCCUCUGUGCCCUGGAUGCAAAGGGCAAUUUACUAUUCCAUCUGAGCAGUGAGUCCAAGAGAAAGAGUCUCUCUUUUUAGCAGGAAAACUAUGUGUCUCACUUGUUCCAUGAGUGACAGAGCCAGAAGUUAAAGAAUUCAACAGAACCACAAGACUGAGAAGAGCCAAGCUUGAUCUCACCCCCAAAGCCUCUGUGCUCCCAUCGUGAGAUAUGCACAGCUCCUUUUUACCAAUCAGCGAAUCUGCCUCUCAAGUUGUGGAAAUGGGGCUAAUGUGCCAAACUGGGCACCCAGCACAGUGCUGGACGCCUCAAGUCACUCAUUUAGUCCCUAACUAUGCCUGCCUGCCUCUUGUUUGUUUGUUUGCUUGCUUAUUUUAAUCUCUGCCAAAAAUGCUAUCCUUGUCCCAGAACCUGUAUGCUGGGGAACUGAAGACAAAUGUGGAGAGCCCUGUGGCCAGCUGUGAGUCUAGAUUUGUACCCACCAUCACCAGAAACCAGCUCUGUCAUCCUCAGUGUUGGUGUCUCCAGCUAGAUGGUAAAGCUCUUCCCUCUUCUAUAUCACUGGCACAGAGAAGGAAUUCAACAGAUAUUCAUGCAUCUCUAAACAAAUAUGAAGCUGGAAGAUCCUGACUCUUGUUAACCAAUCUUUCCAGUACAUAUUCUUUGCCAAAGAAUGCCAGAUUCGGUGGGAAGUGUCUGUGCCUGUGUAUCUAGCUGGUGCACUCAUCAGAGAGUCAGGAAGCACCAACUCAAUCAGUGAACCUGGUAUCGCUAACCACUAUGUUCAGGUAAUACAUACUCGGGUGCUGUGAUCUGCUCAGAACAGACUUUAAAACUCAACGUUUGUGUAUGAGGUGACCCCAAAGACUAGCUGAGACCUCACUGUGGAGAACAGAAAGAUUCUUGAGAGCAGGGAAAGUCUGCUCAGCCCACCGUCUUCACAGGUUGCCUUUGUGUCUGGACGUCUCUUCCGUCCUGUCUCACAACCCUGGGAGCCAACUCAGAUGAUGGGAAGGAGAAUGCAGAACAGUGCCAUAGACCUUCCUAUCAAAGCCGGCUGCUGAGGUCAGUUACCCUGGUGGAAGCUAUUCAGCCCUUCUGAGAAGCACGGGCACAACCAAAAUGGAUCUGCCUCGGUCAACUGUCAGAAAGAAGUGCACCGGAGCCGAGAUUUAAUUCCUCACGCAGGUCAAAUCUCUAGAAUCUUUUCCAAAGCCAAUAGCGGAGCAUAGAACAGAACAAAGCCCUGGUCGGUGGAACUUUUUCCUUACCUAGGGUCCUCCAUGACCUCUGA
Mus spicilegus (steppe mouse) is the source of this 1625-nucleotide long non-coding RNA. NCBI's taxonomy places the organism in Eukaryota, Metazoa, Chordata, Mammalia, Rodentia, Muridae. The record is from Ensembl.